Molecule: ribosomal RNA, 501 nt
Filed under: uncultured bacterium
Lineage: Bacteria
Description: partial 16S ribosomal RNA
Rfam family: Bacterial small subunit ribosomal RNA
Source: RNAcentral
AUUGAACGCUGGCGGCAGGCUUAACACAUGCAAGUCGAGCGGAGAUGAGGUGCUUGCACCUUAUCUUAGCGGCAGACGGGUGAGUAAUGCUUAGGAAUCUGCCUAUUAGUGGGGGACAACAUUCCGAAAGGAAUGCUAAUACCGCAUACGUCCUACGGGAGAAAGCAGGGGAUCUUCGGACCUUGAGCUAAUAGAUGAGCCGAAGUCGGAUUAGCUAGUUGGUGGGGUAAAGGCCUACCAAGGCGACGAUCUGUAGCGGGUCUGAGAGGAUGAUCCGCCACACUGGGACUGAGACACGGCCCAGACUCCUACGGGAGGCAGCAGUGGGGAAUAUUGGACAAUGGGGGGAACCCUGAUCCAGCCAUGCCGCGAGUGUGAAGAAGGCCUUAUGGUUGUAAAGCACUUUAAGCGAGGAGGAGGCUACUGAGACUAAUACUCUUGGAUAGUGGACGUUACUCGCAGAAUAAGCACCGGCUAACUCUGUGCCAGCCGCCGCCGUAA